This is a non-coding RNA of Camelina sativa (false flax), 136 nucleotides long. Lineage: Eukaryota; Viridiplantae; Streptophyta; Magnoliopsida; Brassicales; Brassicaceae. The record is from RefSeq and is a predicted model, not a curated record.
AGGACAUAUCAUAUGAGCUGUUCAAAAUCUAGCAGAAGUUGGAUCAGAAAAUUUUUAUCCUUCAAAAACAAGAUGAUAUUCGUCAAGGCCAAGAAGAGAAGAUGAAAAACCUAACGGAGGAGAGCAAAGAAAAUUA